RNAcentral lists this ribosomal RNA (496 nucleotides) under uncultured bacterium. Its description in RNAcentral is "partial 16S ribosomal RNA". It matches the Rfam family "Bacterial small subunit ribosomal RNA", at positions 29 to 507 of the family's 1533-position model. The record is from RNAcentral.
AUGCACGCUGGCGGCGUGCCUAAUCCCUGCCAGUCGAGCGAACAGAUGAGGAGCUUGCUCCUCUGACGUUAGUGGCGGACGGGUGAGUAACACGUGGAUAACCUACCUAUAAGACUGGGAUAACUUCGGGAAACCGGAGCUAAUACCGGAUAAUAUAUUGAACCGCAUGGUUCAAUAGUGAAAGACGGUUUUGCUGUCACUUAUAGAUGGAUCCGCGCCGCAUUAGCUAGUUGGUAAGGUAACGGCUUACCAAGGCAACGAUGCGUAGCCGACCUGAGAGGGUGAUCGGCCACACUGGAACUGAGACACGGUCCAGACUCCUACGGGAGGCAGCAGUAGGGAAUCUUCCGCAAUGGGCGAAAGCCUGACGGAGCAACGCCGCGUGAGUGAUGAAGGUCUUCGGAUCGUAAAACUCUGUUAUUAGGGAAGAACAAAUGUGUAAGUAACUAUGCACGUCUUGACGGUACCUAAUCAGAAAGCCACGGCUAACUACGUG